UUGCGCAUGCGCAAUUGGACAACGGUAAAGUUCAUUGCGUUAUGAGUUCUGGUAGGUCUAAGCCGCCUCCGAACAUUCUUGACCGACCUCUGAGCAGGGGGAAGUCUGAGGUGAACUUGAGCACGUUUGCUCUGCUUUUCUCGGAGAUUGUUCAGUACAGUCAACAUAGAGUCUUGUCGGUCGCAGAACUGCAGACAAAGCUUGCAGAGCUUGGUCAAGAGGUUGGCAUACGAAUGUUGGAUAUCCUUGCUGUCAGGGAGCGCGGAUCACGUCGGGAGACAAGACUACUAAAUGUACUUCUUUUUAUCAAAGGCCCUCUAUGGAAGACACUCUUUGGCAAAGAAGCUGACAACUUGGAACAUGCAACUGGUGAUGAAUCAACGUAUUAUAUAAUUGAAAAGGAGCCAAUUAUCAACAAGUUUAUCUCAGUUCCAAAGGACAAAAGCAGCUUAAAUUGUGCUUCAUUCAGCGCAGGAAUUGUGGAAGGAGUUUUGAAUGCCACAGACUUUCCAGCGAAAGUAACUGCUCACUGGCACAAAGGCACAACUCUCAUGAUCAAAUUUAAAGACUCGGUACUUUCCAGAGAACGUACUCUUGAUGGUCGGUAAUUUGUAGUUGAGCCUAGUGACAAGCUGAGUGGGUAGUGAGUGGAUCAGGUGACAUUGUUUGGAAGAAACUUAGAUUUUGUCUUGAACCACUGUCGGUGUUUCUGCUGCAAAAUUUCAUAACAGUUAGGUUAGGUAGAUCUAGCAGAGCUGUGAAUAUGAAUAUAUUUGGUAUCAAUGAGACUUUAUAAUUAGUCAUUGUGACCCUUCUAAAGUCACCUUGAAAUAGUUUCUGCUACCUUCAAGUGUUGUGUCGGAUUUAUUUUAUGCCGUUUGCAUUCUUAAGGUAUGGGCAGGCUACUAAACAUAACUAUAGCACUACAUGAUAUCAACAGGUAAUGGUUAGCCACACAGUCACAGUCAGAUAGAAGUGUUCUGUUAAUUAUUCAUUUCUGAUUUUUUCAAGUUCUUUGUAUGCCUCAUUUGCAGUGAGUCUCUUUUCGGGUAGUAAAUCCCAACAUUUGAUUGCCAAUUGUUGCCAUUGAGUGUUUUGAAUUCCUUCCUUCACUUCAAUAAAUCCGGGAUCACGCUGCAAAUCUUGAGGAACUCUGUCGUAGACAGUUUCAUUUUGUUGGUAUUCUUGAGGGAUUCUCAAUUUGUUCCAGAUUUCCCACAUUAUAAGACCAAUGCUGUACAUAUCAGCAGGGAGAGCAUACGGUUUAUUUUGUCUCACCUCUGGGGCAAGGUAGACUGUCAUUCUUUGGAUCUUAGACUCCAUGACUUCUUUGACAC
This is an RNA transcript of Corticium candelabrum, 1337 nucleotides long. It is a transcript of the gene named trafficking protein particle complex subunit 5-like, with no coding region annotated. NCBI's taxonomy places the organism in Eukaryota, Metazoa, Porifera, Homoscleromorpha, Homosclerophorida, Plakinidae. The record is from RefSeq and is a predicted model, not a curated record. The transcript is spliced from 8 exons.